UGGAAGAUCAUAUGGGGGUGCCCUGCUCCCCCUAAGGUGUCCCCUGGCAAGAGAGCUCUGGCGAGUUAUGGCCUUGGACUGGAACAUCCCCAAGGUGGAGGCCAUCGUCAACACUGGCCCAGAGUG
Molecule: non-coding RNA, 126 nt
Organism: Aegilops tauschii subsp. strangulata
Lineage: Eukaryota; Viridiplantae; Streptophyta; Magnoliopsida; Poales; Poaceae
Source: RefSeq, a predicted model, not a curated record